This 403-nucleotide ribosomal RNA is filed under the name uncultured Desulfovibrio sp. RNAcentral describes it as "bacterial SSU rRNA". It matches the Rfam family "Bacterial small subunit ribosomal RNA", at positions 975 to 1375 of the family's 1533-position model. The record is from RNAcentral. Lineage: Bacteria; Pseudomonadati; Thermodesulfobacteriota; Desulfovibrionia; Desulfovibrionales; Desulfovibrionaceae.
CUGGGUUUGACAUCCCGCGAAUCCCUAUGAAAUUAGGGAGUGCCCUUCGGGGAACGCGGAGACAGGUGCUGCAUGGCUGUCGUCAGCUCGUGCCGUGAGGUGUUGGGUUAAGUCCCGCAACGAGCGCAACCCUUGUUGCCAGUUGCUACCAGGUAAUGCUGGGCACUCUGGCGAGACUGCCCGGGUCAACCGGGAGGAAGGUGGGGACGACGUCAAGUCAUCAUGGCCCUUACAUCCAGGGCUACACACGUACUACAAUGGCAGGUACAAAGGGUUGCCAAGCCGCGAGGCCGCGCCAAUCCCAGAAAGCCUGUCUCAGUCCGGAUUGCAGUCUGCAACUCGACUGCAUGAAGCUGGAAUCGCUAGUAAUCCCGGAUCAGCAUGCCGGGGUGAAUACGUUCCC